CAGUCGAGUCCAUCUAGUCUACUUUCAAAAGCUUUCAAGCUUUUGGCCUGAAAUUCUUUACAAAUUCAUGUUAUAGCAGGGAUUAUGGAAUCAUUCAUCUAUAUCAUAUAACAGCCAUGGAAAAUAUCGGUCGAAAACUAAAUUUUCUCACCUGAACGCACCUGGACGCAAUUAAGUUUGAGAUAUUCUAAAGUUGCAAUUGGAAUAGACAUAAAACCAACACACACACACUUAGAUCACAGCGAACAGUGAACGAGUUGUUAUUGUUCUGUCAUAAUCAGAAUGGACACAAUGUCGGGACGUUAGCGACAAUUCAACGCGCCAAGAAUUAUGAAUUUGAGUACUGAACACAACUUGUUUGAUAUUUACGACUGUAAACAAAUCGCUGCCAAAGUAACAAUGUCGAGCGACCGAGCGCAACAAGGAAACUGAAUAAACUGAAAAGUAAACAGCAACAGGUCCAGCAACAGGUCCAGCAACAGGUCCCCCAGCAUCCGGCGUCAAGCGCAUGUGCAGAGUGGCAGAGUGCAACCAAUAAUUAUAUUAACAAUAUUUAACAAUUUUAAGCAAUAAAAAGAAACUGACGCCAAA
Drosophila montana is the source of this 591-nucleotide long non-coding RNA. RefSeq lists it as uncharacterized. NCBI's taxonomy places the organism in Eukaryota, Metazoa, Arthropoda, Insecta, Diptera, Drosophilidae. The transcript has 3 exons. The record is from RefSeq and is a predicted model, not a curated record.